UGCACUCCAGCCUGGGCGACAGAGUAAGACUCCGUCUCAAAAGAAAAAAAAAGAAAAGCCCCUCUUUCCAGGUGGACUUGACUGAGGUGAAUGGAUAUGACAGUAGCUAAAAGGAGAGGCUGGAAGAGAUUAUAGAAUUUUGUGGAGAAAAAUUCGUUCUUUUCCUGAGGGAAGGCCAAAGCCUGCAGUCAUGAUGGAGUUGGAGAAAGGUGUGAAGGGCCAGGCCAGGAGCCCAGGGAGAGGAGGCCUGAGAGAGGAGCCCUGUGGAAUGAAGCCUGUGAACAGCCCAUUUUCACUUCUGAAGCAGUUGGUCCCCCACAAAAAGAUUAUUUUCUCCAAAGCAGAUGAAAAUCCCCUUUCCCUCCGCCUGCUCCUGCAGCCUGUGGUCAUGGAGGCAAAGAAAUCACCCCUUCCUCUGCCACUUACCAGCUGUGGUCCUGUGCAAAUGUCUUAGCUUCUCUGAGCCUCUGUUUCCUUUCUGUAGAGUGAAAAUAAUUCAUUAUUUGUGAGAUUAUGUGAGGAUUAAGUAAUACUGUAUGUGGAAGGGCUGAACACAGUGCUU
This 562-nucleotide long non-coding RNA is filed under the name Homo sapiens (human). RNAcentral describes it as "HSALNT0292265". The record is from RNAcentral. Lineage: Eukaryota; Metazoa; Chordata; Mammalia; Primates; Hominidae.